AUUGAACGCUGGCGGCAGGCCUAACACAUGCAAGUCGAGCGGAUGAAGGGAGCUUGCUCCUGGAUUCAGCGGCGGACGGGUGAGUAUUGCCCGGGAAUCUCCUGGGCAGGGGGGGAGAACGUCCGGAAACGGGCGCUAAUACUGCAAACGCCUGGAGGGAGAAGGGGGGGGAGUUUCGGACCUCUCCCUAGCAGAGGGGCUUAGGCCGGAUUAGCUAGUUGGUGGGGUAAAGGCCUACAAAGCCGCGGAUCGGUAACUGGCCUGAGAGGAUGAUCGGUCACACUGGAACUGAGACACGGUCCAGACUCCUACGGGAGGCAGCAGUGGGGAAUAUUGGACAAUGGGCGAAAGCCUGAUCCAGCCAUGCCGAGUGUGUGAAGAAGGUCUUCGGAUUGUAAAGCACUUUAAGUUGGGAGGAAGGGCAGUAAGUUAAUACCUUGCUGUUUUGACGUUACCAACAGAAGAAGCACCGGCUAACUUCGUG
This 484-nucleotide ribosomal RNA is filed under the name uncultured bacterium. RNAcentral's name for it is "partial 16S ribosomal RNA". It matches the Rfam family "Bacterial small subunit ribosomal RNA", at positions 29 to 507 of the family's 1533-position model. The record is from RNAcentral.